GCCGGGUGCAGUGGCGCGCGCCUGUAAUCCAAGCUGCUGGGAGGCUGAGGCUGGCGGAUCGCUUGAGUUCAGGGGUUCUGGGCUGCAGUGGACUAUGUCGAUAAGGUGUCCGUGCUAAGUUCGGUAUCGAUAUGGUGCUCCUGGGGGAGCUUGGGACCACCAGGUCAUCUAAGGAGGGGUGAACCGGCCCAGGUAUCUGCAGGUGGACUAACAGCGAAAGAAAGAUUUGCAGAUUAAUGAUUAUGAUUAAGAAUUCGGUGAUAAUCAAAUUGUU
Unclassified non-coding RNA from Cyprinus carpio (common carp), 274 nucleotides. It matches the Rfam family "Metazoan signal recognition particle RNA". Rfam says of the family: The signal recognition particle (SRP) is a universally conserved ribonucleoprotein. It is involved in the co-translational targeting of proteins to membranes. Lineage: Eukaryota; Metazoa; Chordata; Actinopteri; Cypriniformes; Cyprinidae. The record is from Ensembl.